UUCCAGGAUUCUUGAGGAAUAGUUCUGACCAAGAAUUCUUUUUAUCUUUUUGGUGCCUACGUCAACCAUGAAGAAAACCCAUUAAGCUCCCCUUGGGCCCAGUACAGCAGAGGAGACCUGCAGCAGCUUGCAACUCUCUAGUGCGCCCACCUCUUCAGCAAAGAACAACAGAGGAACAUCCAAGCAGUGCGAGGCCGUCUGGUAGGCCCACCCCAUUGGCCCAGUACAGCAGAGGAGCCCAGCCACCCAGCGCCAACACAGUGGGGUCUCCGUGCCCCCUUCACCCUAACACGAACAAGAGAAAGCGGGCCUCUCUGAGGCUCCUAGAUGAUAAUUGAAGCCCACUGGAAAAGUGCAGAAAAUCUCUGCCAUAAAGGCACACCUCACAACCACAGUUGCUCAUCUGACAAAUACGUGCAAAUACCCUUUUACCUUACGGAUCAGAAGGCCUGAGAAGUGGUUU
Fukomys damarensis (Damara mole-rat) is the source of this 463-nucleotide long non-coding RNA. RefSeq lists it as uncharacterized. The transcript has 3 exons. Lineage: Eukaryota; Metazoa; Chordata; Mammalia; Rodentia; Bathyergidae. The record is from RefSeq and is a predicted model, not a curated record.